RNAcentral lists this long non-coding RNA (2460 nucleotides) under Salmo salar (Atlantic salmon). RNAcentral's name for it is "lncRNA (ENSSSAG00000093497.1)". The record is from RNAcentral. Lineage: Eukaryota; Metazoa; Chordata; Actinopteri; Salmoniformes; Salmonidae.
GUCAAAAUCAAAAGUAACAGUUAGUAUCUGGUGUGGCCACCAGCUGCAUUAAGUACUACAGUGCAUCUCCUCCUCAUGAACUGUACCAGAUUUGCCAAUUCUUGCUGUGAGAUGUUACCCCACUCUUCCACCAAGGCAUCUGCAAGUUCACGGACAUUUCUGGGGGGAAUGGCCCUAGCCCUCACCCUCCGAUCCAACAGGUCCCAGACGUGCUCAAUGGGAUUGAUAUCCGGGCUCUUCGCUGGCCAUGGCAGAACACUGACAUUCCGGUCUUGCAGGAAAUCCCACACAGAACGAGCAGUAUGGCUGGUGCCAUUAUCAUGCUUGAGGGUCAUGUCAGGAUGAGCCUGCAGGAAGGGUACCACAUGGGGAAAGAGAAUGUCUUCCUUGUAACGCACAGCGUUGAGAUUGCCUGCAAUGACAAUAAGCUCAGUCCGAUGAUGCUGUGACACACCGCCCCAGACCAUGACGGACCCUCCACCUCCAAAUCGAUCCCGCUGCAGAGUACAGGCCUCGGUGUAACGCUCAUUCCGACGAUAAACGCGAAUCCGACCACCACCCCUGGUAAGACAAAACUGCGACUCGUCAGUGAAGAGCACUUUUUGCCAGUCCUGUCUGGUCCAGCGACGGUGGGUUUGUGCCCAUAGGCAACGUUGUUGCCGGUGAUGUCUGGUGAGGACCAGCCUUACAACAGGCCUACAAGCCCUCAGUCCAGCCUCUCUCAGCCUAUUGUGGACAGUCAGAGCACUGAUGGAGGGAUUGUGCGUUCCUAGUGUAACUCGGCAGUUGUUGUUGCCAGCCUGUACCUGUCCCAAAGGUGUGAUGUUCGGAUGUACCGAUCCUGUGCAGGUGUUGUUACACGUGGUCUGCCACUGCGAGGACGAUCAGCUGUCCAUCCUGUCUCCCUGUAGCGCAGUCUUAGGCGUCUCACUGUAUGGACAUUGCAAUUUAUUGUCCUGGCCACAUCUGCAGUCCUCAUGCCUCCUUCCAGCAUGCCUAAGGCACGAUCACGCAAAAUGUUUUAUUGAUUUUUAUUUUUAUUUUUCACCUUUAUUUAACCAGGUAGGCAAGUUGAGAACAAGUUCUCAUUUACAAUUGCGACCUGGCCAAGAUAAAGCAAAGCAGUUCGACACAUACAACAACACAGAGUUGCACAUGGAGUAAAACAAACAUACAGUCAAUAAUACAUUAGAAAAAUAAGUCUAUAUGCAAUGUGAGCAAAUGAGGUGAGAUAAGGGAGGUAAAGGCCAAAAAAAGCCAUGGUGGCAAAGUAAAUACAAUAUAGAAAGUAAAACACUGGAAUGGUAGAUUUGUAGUCAGUCAAUACGGAACAUUUCAAUAACUUUGAAAGUUUCUUCAAGAGCACUCAUAAAAACAAUCAAGCUCUAUGAUGAAACUGGCUCUCAUGAGGACCAACAUAGGAAAGGAAGACCCAGAGUUACCUCUGCUGCAGAGGAUAAGUUCAUUAGAGUUAACUGCACCUCAGCUUGCAGCCCAAAUAAAUAUUCAAAGUUCAAAUAACAGGAACAUCUCAACAUCAACUGUUCAGAGGAGACUGGGUGAAUCAAGCCUUCAUGGUCGAAUAGCUGCAAAGAAACCACUACUAGAGGACACCAAUAAGAAGAGACUUGCUUGGGCCAAGAAACACCAGCAAUGGACAUUAGACUGGUGGAAAUCUGUCCUUUGCUCUGAUGAGUCCAAAUUUGAGAUUUUUGGUUUCAACUGCCUUGUCUUUGUGAGACGCAGAGUAGGUGAACGGAUGUGUAGUUCCCACCAUGAAGCAUGGAGGUGGAGGUGUGAUGGUGCGUUGGUGGUGACACUGUCGGUGAUAUAUUUAGAAUUCAAGGCACACUUAACCAACAUGGCUACCACAGCAUUCCGCAGCGAUACGCUAUCCCAUGUGGUUUGUGCUUAGUGGGACUAUCAUUUGUUUUUCAACAGGACAAUGACCCAACACACCUCCAGGGUGUGUAAGGGCUAUUUGACCAAGAAGGAGAGUGAUGGACUGCUGCAUCAGAUGACCUGGCCUCCACAAUCACCUGACCUCAACCCAAUUGAGAUGGUUUGGGAUGAGUUGGACAGCAGAGUGAAAGAAAAGCAGCCAACAAGUGCUCAGCAUAUGUGGGAACUCCUUCAAGACUGCUGGAAAAGCAUUCCAGGUGAAGCUGGUUGAGAGAAUGCCAAGAAUGUACAAAGCUGUCAUCAAGGCAAAGGGUGGCUACUUUGAAGAAUCUCAAAUAUAAAAUAUACACUUUUUGGUUUACUACAUGAUUCCAUAUGUGUUAUUUCAUAGUUUGACUUCUUCACUAUUAUUCUACAAUGUAGAAAAUAGUACAAAUAAAGAAAAACCCUUGACUGAGUAUGUGUGUCCAAACUUUUGACUGGUACUGUAUAUAUAACCAUAAUGAAUGUUAAACCAUUGUGUGGUGUUUGGGUCUGUGGGACCCAUUUUCAAUGUUA